AGAAUCAACGCUGGCGGCGUGCCUCAGACAUGCAAGUCGAACGCGAAAGUCCCCUUCGGGGGACAAGUAGAGUGGCGCACGGGUGAGUAACACGUAGGUAAUCUACCUUCGGAUGGGGAAUAACAACCGGAAACGGUUGCUAAUACCGCAUAAUGCAGCGGCACCUAAUGGUGACAGUUGUUAAAGCGGGGGAUCGAAAGACCUCGCGUCUGAAGAGGAGCCUGCGGCGGAUUAGCUAGUUGGUAGGUAACGGCCUACCAAGGCGACGAUCC
RNAcentral lists this ribosomal RNA (272 nucleotides) under uncultured soil bacterium. Its description in RNAcentral is "partial 16S ribosomal RNA". It matches the Rfam family "Bacterial small subunit ribosomal RNA", at positions 26 to 282 of the family's 1533-position model. The record is from RNAcentral.